RNAcentral lists this long non-coding RNA (281 nucleotides) under Trifolium pratense (red clover). Its description in RNAcentral is "long non-coding RNA (TPRA_LNC009922)". The record is from RNAcentral. Lineage: Eukaryota; Viridiplantae; Streptophyta; Magnoliopsida; Fabales; Fabaceae.
ACCGUCCAAUUCCAAAAUCAUCUCUUUAACCGUUGGAUUAUCUCUGAUUUAAAUUACCAACUAUACCCUCCAAAGCUCUAUAUAAGCAACCGUUUCAUUCUCCAACUAACACAACCACCAACAAAACAAACAAUCACAAAGAUUCUUUGUCUGUCCCUUAAUUUCCAACUUUUCAAACUUUUUUCAGUUAACCAAACAACUCUUUCACACAAACCAUGGCUCCUGAUCUCAUUACCGCUGCAACCAACAUCACCAACGCUCAAGGUAAGGCCACAAAACGC